GACUAACGCUGGCGGCGUGCCUAACACAUGCAAGUCGAACGGUAACAUGUUUGUAGCAAUACAAAUGAUGACGAGUGGCGCACGGGUGAGUAACACAUCGGAACGUACCCUGUCGUGGGGGAUAACGAGUCGAAAGAUUCGCUAAUACCGCAUACGACCCGAGGGUGAAAGCGGGGGACCGAAAGGCCUCGCACUAUUGGAGCGGCCAAUAUCGGAUUAGCUAGUUGGUGGGGUAAAGGCCUACCAAGGCGACGAUCCGUAGCUGGUUUGAGAGGACGACCAGCCACACUGGGACUGAGACACGGCCCAGACUCCUACGGGAGGCAGCAGUGGGGAAUCUUGCACAAUGGGGGAAACCCUGACGCAGCGACGCCGCGUGAGCGAAGAAGGCCUUAGGGUUGUAAAGCUCUGUUUUAAGGGACGAAUGUUACGGGGAGUAAUAUGCCCUGUAAAUGACGGUACCUUAAGAGGAAGCCCCGGCUAACUACGUG
This 491-nucleotide ribosomal RNA is filed under the name uncultured bacterium. RNAcentral describes it as "bacterial SSU rRNA". It matches the Rfam family "Bacterial small subunit ribosomal RNA", at positions 28 to 507 of the family's 1533-position model. The record is from RNAcentral.